GGGCCCGCACAAGCGGUGGAGCAUGUGGUUUAAUUCGAUGAUACGCGAGGAACCUUACCAGGGCUUAAAUGUAGAGCGACAGAGGUGGAAACACCUCCUUCUUCGGACGGUCUACAAGGUGCUGCAUGGUUGUCGUCAGCUCGUGCUGUGAAGUGUCGGGUUAAGUCCCAUAACGAGCGCAACCCCUAUUUCUAGUUGCCAGCGGUUCGGCCGGGGACUCUAGAGAAACUGCCAGCGUAAGCUGUGAGGAAGGUGGGGAUGACGUCAAAUCAUCACGGCCCUUACGUCCUGGGCCACACACGUGCUACAAUGGUGGAGACAGAGAGUUGCCAACCCGCGAGGGUGAGCUAAUCUUCAAAGCCGAUCACAGUUCGGAUCGGAGUCUGCAACUCGACUCCGUG
This 401-nucleotide ribosomal RNA is filed under the name uncultured bacterium. RNAcentral's name for it is "bacterial SSU rRNA". It matches the Rfam family "Bacterial small subunit ribosomal RNA", at positions 917 to 1322 of the family's 1533-position model. The record is from RNAcentral.